UGCCUGAUGGAGGGGGAUAACUACUGGAAACGGUAGCUAAUACCGCAUAACGUCGCAAGACCAAAGAGGGGGACCUUCGGGCCUCUUGCCAUCGGAUGUGCCCAGAUGGGAUUAGCUAGUAGGUGGGGUAACGGCUCACCUAGGCGACGAUCCCUAGCUGGUCUGAGAGGAUGACCAGCCACACUGGAACUGAGACACGGUCCAGACUCCUACGGGAGGCAGCAGUGGGGAAUAUUGCACAAUGGGCGCAAGCCUGAUGCAGCCAUGCCGCGUGUAUGAAGAAGGCCUUCGGGUUGUAAAG
Molecule: ribosomal RNA, 301 nt
Filed under: Escherichia coli
Lineage: Bacteria; Pseudomonadati; Pseudomonadota; Gammaproteobacteria; Enterobacterales; Enterobacteriaceae
Description: bacterial SSU rRNA
Rfam family: Bacterial small subunit ribosomal RNA
Source: RNAcentral